This 26-nucleotide non-coding RNA is filed under the name Homo sapiens (human). The record is from RNAcentral. Lineage: Eukaryota; Metazoa; Chordata; Mammalia; Primates; Hominidae.
UGACGGAGGUAAGGGAUCUCCAGGGU